RNAcentral lists this ribosomal RNA (663 nucleotides) under uncultured bacterium. RNAcentral's name for it is "bacterial SSU rRNA". It matches the Rfam family "Bacterial small subunit ribosomal RNA", at positions 9 to 646 of the family's 1533-position model. The record is from RNAcentral.
GAGUUUGAUCCUGGCUCAGAACGAACGCUGGCGGCGUGCUUAAUACAUGCAAGUCGUGCGAGAAAGUGGUAGCAAUACCAUGAGUACAGCGGCAAACGGGUGAGUAACACGUAAGGAACUUUCCUCGAAGUCUGGAACAACACUGCCAACGCGGUGCUAAUACCGGAUGUGAUCACUGGAGCGCAUGCUUCGGUGUUUAAAGGUGACCUCUCCAUGGAAGCUACCGUUUCGAGAUGGCCUUGCGCCCCAUUAGCUAGUUGGCGGGGUGACAGCCCACUAAGGCUUUGAUGGGUAGCCGGUCUGAGAGGGCGAUCGGCCACAUUGGGACUGAGACACGGCCCAGACUCCUACGGGAGGCAGCAGUAGGGAAUUUUGCGCAAUGGACGAAAGUCUGACGCAGCAACGCCGCGUGAGGGAUGAAGGUCUUCGGAUUGUAAACCUCUGUUGAUUGGGAAGAAUAACGUCGCGGACAAUAGCCGCGAGGGAUGACGGUACCAGUCGAGGAAGCCCCGGCUAACUACGUGCCAGCAGCCGCGGUAAUACGUAGGGGGCAAGCGUUGUUCGGAAUUACUGGGCGUAAAGGGAGCGUAGGCGGAUUGGCAAGUUAGGAGUGAAAUCCACAGGCUUAACCUGUGGUUUGCUUUUAAAACUGCUUUUCUUGAG